UACGUAGGGACCGAGCGUUGUCCGGAAUCAUUGGGCGUAAAGAGCGUGUAGGCGGCCUUUUAAGUCCUGCGUGAAAUCCUGCGGCUCAACCGCAGACGGUCGUGGGAAACUGGAAGGCUAGAGUGCGGGAGAGGAGAGUGGAAUUCCCGGUGUAGCGGUGAAAUGCGCAGAUAUCGGGAAGAACACCCGUGGCGAAGGCGGCUCUCUGGAACGCAACUGACGCUGAGACGCGAAAAGCGUGGGGAGCAAACAGG
This 254-nucleotide ribosomal RNA is filed under the name uncultured bacterium. Its description in RNAcentral is "partial 16S ribosomal RNA". It matches the Rfam family "Bacterial small subunit ribosomal RNA", at positions 524 to 776 of the family's 1533-position model. The record is from RNAcentral.